This 536-nucleotide ribosomal RNA is filed under the name Roseodiscus subcarneus. RNAcentral's name for it is "eukaryotic LSU rRNA". The stretch from base 228 to 381 matches the Rfam family "5.8S ribosomal RNA". Lineage: Eukaryota; Fungi; Ascomycota; Leotiomycetes; Helotiales. The record is from RNAcentral.
UCUUGGUCAUUUAGAGGAAGUAAAAGUCGUAACAAGGUUUCCGUAGGUGAACCUGCGGAAGGAUCAUUACAGAGUUCAUGCCCUUACGGGUAGAUCUCCCACCCUUGAAUAUUAUACCUUCGUUGCUUUGGCGGGCCGCUUCGGCUGCUGGCUUCGGCUAGUGAGUGCCCGCCAGAGGACCCCAAACUCUGAAUAUUAGUGUCGUCUGAGUACUAUAUAAUAGUUAAAACUUUCAACAACGGAUCUCUUGGUUCUGGCAUCGAUGAAGAACGCAGCGAAAUGCGAUAAGUAAUGUGAAUUGCAGAAUUCAGUGAAUCAUCGAAUCUUUGAACGCACAUUGCGCCCCCUGGUAUUCCGGGGGGCAUGCCUGUUCGAGCGUCAUUAUAACCCUCAAGCUCUGCUUGGUGUUGGGGCCUGCCGUCACCGGCAGCCCCUAAAAUCAGUGGCGGUGCCUUCAGGCUCUAAGCGUAGUAAUUCUUCUCGCUAUAGGGUCCUGGUGGACGCUGGCCAGCAACCCCCAAUUUUCUAUGGUGACC